GAUUCAAUGUGCCCAAGGAGGCAACACACAGGGCUGGUUCUGCUGACUGCCCCCACCUCCUCUGCCCACCCAGUGGAAACCAGCUUGUGACUCAUAAAGGCAUCCUGGUCUCCCGUGGUGUUUCUGGUUCCACACACCAUUUGAGAAGGACAUCAGUUGUUACGAAGGACUGCUUCCCAAGCAGGCAUUUCCUUUGCUGCUGACAGGCAUGAGCUCUGUUACUUCUCAUGCUCAGGCUGCUGUUGCCUGAGAGACCAGAACAAACUGAAGAAGAAUCUGCACAUCCCAGGCACCAGGAUUUCCUACAGAACUGAUUGAUAUUCUUGCAGGAAUGAGUGCAGCAUCUCUGAGGAGAAAUGUUACCAUUUGGGGAACCCACAAGCAAUGAUCAGUGCUGCAAUUUGCUCUCCUCCACCACCCUUUGUAAUAUAAGAAGCAGCGAAUCAACUAAUAUGAAAGACACAAUCUAAGCUCCACAGGCACUGGCUUCCCUGAAAAUUCCUGCUUUUUACACAAGUGCCCUGAAGAAAGCAGUUCAAAGGAACCAGCAGCACAAAUCCAUUCCAAUCUCUGCUCUGACUCUGCCUUCCAGCCCCAACUGUUCUCUGCACAUUUCUAACAAUGACACAAAUCCUGUGGACUCCUCUGAAGAUGAUGUUGUUCCUUUUGGUCUGUGACACUCUCAGCAUAAAGAACUAGCUCACUGCAAUCUUUAUACACUCAUUAUUCCUGCUACUUCUUGGUUCCUAAUUAUAUGACUUUUAAACUCUUAGAAAGCAGCCCAUUGCUACCAACAUGUUUGUCUCGGAACUACUCCCUGAGAUUCCCAUGUCUCACAGGAAGCCUCCAGUGCAAUGAAAACAUUGCAUUUCUUUUCAACAGUUUUCUGUAUUCUGCCAACAUUUUGUUGAACAGAAAUCCUGCUUUUAAUUCAGUCUUGACAUUCUGAGACAGCCAGAGCCUGCCCAGCUAAUCACUGCCUCUUGCUACAUCAUUUGUUGAACUUCACUUCGGUCAGUGCAGCCAGAAAAUGCCUUUGGCAGUAAUGGAAUCAGAUUUCUUAGCAAGGUGCCUCCAUUUGCUCAAGGGUUUUCUAAUCACAUCUUAUGCUGGUGCUUUUGAGAGUUUUCCUCUGUAAGAUAUGCCUUCCUGUGAAUUACAGAGGGGCUAGCAUCUCCUCCCAAGCAUGCCUGGACAGCCAUUCCCUCUCAGCUGCUGCAAGAGCAACUGGCCUGCCAGCAAGCUCAUCUCUGUAGGGCACUGGUACCACCAUGCUUGUGCCCAGGCCUGAGGGUCCUCGGAUUUGUCCAGCUGUUUGGAAAACCUUUCAGAUUUUUCCAGUCUUACAAGGAAUUGUGGGUGUUCUUAAACAACAUUUCUCCAAAUUGAACUGCUGCACAGCUAUAGCCAUUUCCAGGGUCCCUUUCAACUGGUACAACCAUUUAUCCUACAGGAACACACAGUUCAGCAGUAAUCAUCUUCCAUGCUUUUAAGACAGUCCUGCACUGUUCUCACAUCCAAUCCACACCCAAAGCAAAAGCACAAACAUCUGCGACCAGUGGCCAAAGGGGCUUGGAUAAACCUAACACAUAAACAGGAACAAGAACCUUUCAAACCUGAAAAGAAAAUCCAAAUAUUAUUGUGCUGAAAGCACUGAAAGCAUUGCAUCUUUUUGUCUUGAUUUUGCCGUGAUUCUCAAAGAUUAGCAAGCUGGCAAAGGAACUUCCUGUCACCGGACUGAGCCAGCACUACACAGCUUCUCUUUCUCUCCACUGAUAAAAACACUUCUUCCUGUGCUGACUCCAGCUUCACAAUAAAUCACUCUUUAAGGAACACACUACAUUCCUCUGGAUUUAUUUUCGUAUUGGCAGCACUAAGCUAAUCACAUACUAUUUGUAAACAAAUCGGCACUUCAAGAGCAGGAGUCUGCAUCAAGAACAGGAACAGCACAGUAACAGAAGGAUGCUUUGCCACAACCUGUCAGCUCUCCUGGGAAGGAGCAUUGCCUACCAUUAUCCUCAACAGCUCUACUUUUAUACUAACAUUAAUUCUUCUUUUCCAGAUCAUCCUGCAUCUCUUGGAAAGCCAAGAACUGCAGCUGCUAUUGUGCCCAGCAUCUGAAGCAACACAAUGUGCUCAUUGCCAGUUAAUUGCCUUCCAGGCACCAUUUUUCUGAUUUUGACAAUUUUUAAAGAGAAUUUCCUCAACUGAAACCUGCAUGCAUUUUUUACUGUCUUUUUUUCCCCCAUUACAUAUAAUGAUUGUAAUCAAAUUUGAUUCAUCAUAAAAACAGUAGAAUGAUUAGUUAAUAGAGCACUAAUUUUCAGAGGCAAUCUUUCCCCAUUUGUCAGCAGGGGUGUAUGUUCACUGUCAUGGGCUUCCCUCAAGAGACAAUCCAGGAUAAACUGUUCUAUAGUAAGAGCUAUUUUCUGAAUAUCUGAGCUAUCAGUUUAAGUUUAGUUGGUGUUUACAGAACCAAUCUACCCAAAUAAGUCAGCUUCACACAGGCUCUCACAGCCUUGUUUCAGAUGUCUUCAGAAAAAGGUGAAGAGUUGUUUGUGCCAUUUUUCCUGAACAGGGAAUCUGUUAUAGUCACUGAAGAAUGAAGAUUCCCUUAACCUGCAAAUAAUACAAUUAAUUGUUCUUCUCCCAGGCUAGACAUGCUGCUUUUCUCCUUGGAAAGUGAGUAUCACAUGGUGUUAAGAUCAAGAAAACUGGAUACUACAUAUACCACAUGGUCUGAAAACAAAAAGAGCAAUUGGAAGGAUAACUUCCUGAGCUGCCCUGUGGAAUAGAAGAGCAAAAAAUAAAUGGACAAAAGCCUCCUUGGUCACAGCAGUCAUGGGAAUGCAUCCUAUUUCCAGAGCUGGUGACAUUAACCUUUAGCUGUAACACUCUUCAAGCAAACAGAACUACUGUAAGAGUCAAAAAUGCAGAUGGAGUAUUUUGAGAAACCCUACAGAGAGCUGGCACUCCAUAAAUUUUGCCAUGACAGUAUCUCUCAUCCUGGAGCUUGCCAGGAUAGCGUCUGGUAUCUGGGUUUGUGCUAGGAAAGGUGGGCAUAGGGAAACCUCACCUGUGUCAAGUGCCAUUUUCUGAACUGUUUCCAGACUAAUGGCACAGAAAGGGGGAAUAUAUCAGAUUUGGCCCCACAGCCUGUGAAACUGGCAAGAAGUAGUUGCAGAGUCUGCAGAGUUGCAGGUAGACAAGGAUCCCGAGACAGCACUAUCACACUGCCAAGUCUAGAAUUGCGUAACUGCUUAACAACUUCAUAUAUUCAAUAAAAAUUAAUAUAUUGAAUUUUCUAUAUAUUGAGGUUAAAAAAACCUCUUAAAAUCACUUAAAAGAUAUUGACAUCGUAUUAGCACAUAUGUAUACAGAAUCUGUUCUGCCAAAGUUAGUCCAAGACAGAAGGAAAAUAGAAAACAUGUAUUUUUACAUUACAAUUUAAUUACAUAUAUCUCUAUUAGUAGGUGCUAAUCUCACUGCAGAUUUUCUAAGGCACAGAAUCUUUAUCUGAAAAUAUACAGCAAUCUUUUCUUCAGUCCAGUACAAGCUGGUACCUUGUCAUAUACAGACCCAAAAACCCAUUCAGCACCAUACCACAAAUGCAACAUAUACUGACUAGCACUUUGAGAAGACUACCAUUUGUACUGAAAUAAAUACAGUUUGGCAGCAAAGACUCUAUCACAGCUUUGUCACAACUUUUGUCUACAUAAAUAUCUUGAUUCUAUUUCCUGUUUCAGGAAGAAUACAUUAAAUGCUUCAAUUCUCCCUCCAUCAGUUAGUCUCAUGUUUCACUGAUGAAAAUACCAUAACAUCUAAAUAAAUAAAUAAAUAAAUGAAACCAUUAAACUCCAUUUUUAGGUCCAUUUUUUUUCAGUUUUUAGUUGUGUAUUUAUUUAAACAAAAAAGCCCUGAGGAAUCUGUUAAGUCACACAUCAGUGAAUGGCAUAUAAAACAGAAGUCAUUGCUCCUGUUCACCAAGCAUGCAAUGCAAUAUUUAUACCACAGACGUUUUCAAAUGUAGUUUUAUUCCAGUGACUAUCUGCAGUUUAUACAUAUAUUUAAAAACAACAUUGUGUGAACAUAUCACAGACCAGUACCUAAAAAAUCUUUAGUACAUACUCCUUUAUAAAAGGUUUUGACACAAUGGAAAAGUCAGUCCAGAAAAACGCAUGUUACCACGUUUCUUGAUAAACAAAAGAUUGUGAGGCCCUGUAACCUGCAUAAGCACAAGUAUCCAUGGCAAUGGAUCUCUCUUCUAAAUCCUUGUUUCAAAUAAACAGGUUUAAAUUUUGUUCAGUAAACAAGUUCUACCACAACACCGUCCAUUUAAAUUUGUGCUUUCCAAAAGGCAAGCGAACUA
Non-coding RNA from Cyanistes caeruleus (blue tit), 4369 nucleotides. NCBI's taxonomy places the organism in Eukaryota, Metazoa, Chordata, Aves, Passeriformes, Paridae. The record is from RefSeq and is a predicted model, not a curated record.